AGUUUGAUCCUGGCUCAGAUUGAACGCUGGCGGCAGGCUCUAACACAUGCAAGUUUUUUUUGUAACACAGAGCGCUUUGCUCUCGGGUGACGAGUCUUCGGAACGGGUGAGUAAUGUCUGGGAAACUGCCUGAUGGAGGGGGAUAACUACUGGAAACGGUAGCUAAUACCGCAUAACGUCGCAAGACCAAAGUGGGGGACCUUCGGGCCUCAUGCCAUCAGAUGUGCCCAGAUGGGGAUUAGCUAGUAGGUGGGGUAAUGGCUCACCUAGGCGACGAUCCCUAGCUGGUCUGAGAGGGAUGACCAGCCACACUGGAACUGAGACACGGUCCAGACUCCUACGGGAGGCAGCAGUGGGGGAAUAUUGCACAAUGGGCGCAAGCCUGAUGCAGCCAUGCCGCGUGUAUGAAGAAGGCCUUCGGGUUGUAAAGUACUUUCAGCGAGGAGGAAGGCGUUAAGGUUAAUAACCUUGGCGAUUGACGUUACUCGCAGAAGAAGCACCGGCUAACUCCCGUGCCAGCAGCCGCGGUAAUACGGAGGGUGCAAGCGUUAAUNCGGAAUUACUGGGCGUAAAGCGCACGCAGGCGGUCUGUCAAGUCGGGAUGUGAAAUUCCCCGGGGCUUCAACCUGGGAACUGCAUUCGAAACUGGCAGGCUAGAGUCUUGUAGAGGGGGGUAAGAAUUCCCAGGUGUAGCGGUGAAAAUGCGUAGAGAUACUGGAGGAAUACCGGUGGCGAAGGCGGCCCCCUGGACAAAGACUGACGCUCAGGUGCGAAAGCGUGGGGAGCAAACAGGAUUUAGAUACCCUGGUAGUCCACGCCGUAAACGGAUAGCCGACUUGGAGGUUGUGCCCUUGAGGUUUUUAAGGCUUCCGGCGCUUUAACGCGUUAAGUCGACCGCCUGGGUUAAAAGAGUACGGCCCCGCAAGGUUAAAACUCAAAUGAAUUGACGGGGGCCCGCACAAGCGGUGGAGCAUGUGGUUUAAUUCGAUGCAACGCGAAGAACCUUACCUACUCUUGACAUCCAGAGAACUUAGCAGAGAUGCUUUGGUGCCUUCGGGAACUCUGAGACAGGUGCUGCAUGGCUGUCGUCAGCUCGUGUUGUGAAAUGUUGGGUUAAGUCCCGCAACGAGCGCAACCCUUAUCCUUUGUUGCCAGCGAUUAGGUCGGGAACUCAAAGGAGAUUGUUUUUGAUAAACUGGAGGAAGGUGGGGAUGACGUCUAGUCAUCAUGGCCCUUACGAGUAGGGCUACACACGUGCUACAAUGGCAUAUACAAAGAGAAGCGACCUCGCGAGAGCAAGCGGACCUCAUAAAGUAUGUCGUAGUCCGGAUUGGAGUCUGCAACUCGACUCCAUGAAGUCGGAAUCGCUAGUAAUCGUAGUCAGAAUGCUACGGUGAAUACGUUCCCGGGCCUUGUACACACCGGCCCGUCAC
This 1433-nucleotide ribosomal RNA is filed under the name Klebsiella aerogenes. RNAcentral's name for it is "Enterobacter aerogenes 16S ribosomal RNA". It matches the Rfam family "Bacterial small subunit ribosomal RNA". Lineage: Bacteria; Pseudomonadati; Pseudomonadota; Gammaproteobacteria; Enterobacterales; Enterobacteriaceae. The record is from RNAcentral.